UUAGCUUCACUGCCCCUCUUCCAUCUGUUUGCCAGUUCACUCAGUCACUUGCACCUCACCUGGUCUUUCAUCCCUGUUUUGGGAAUUUCUUUCUUCAUCUUGAGAAGUAUGCAUCUAGGGGCAGCCAUCUUUUUUUUUUCAACACAACAUGACAAGCAAGGUAUCUUUGGAUCCCAAAUCUGACCUGGAAAGUUUGGGAAGAGUCCCCAGCAACAAAGAACAGAGCGGCUUUUUGAGCUGUGUUUACAAGUAUACGAUAUGAUGCAUAUGUAUGACACUCAGAUCAUACAUAUGCAGAUGAAGCCGGGUGGUUGGUGGAAGUCGAAGGAUGCUUGAGCCGACUGCUGCGAGAUGAUUGGCCCGAUCCAAAAGGGUAAUCUUUGCUGCUGCUCUCCCUGCCUCCUUUUGCAAACCACUUUGCAACCCAACUCCAUCCCUGCAUCUUCUUUAUGAUAAUCUUUGCUGAUGCUCUGCCUGCCUUCCUUUGAAACUGCUUUGCAAUCCAACUCCAUCCCUGCGUCUUCUUUAAGGU
This is a long non-coding RNA of Notolabrus celidotus (New Zealand spotty), 532 nucleotides long. RefSeq lists it as uncharacterized. The record is from RefSeq and is a predicted model, not a curated record. NCBI's taxonomy places the organism in Eukaryota, Metazoa, Chordata, Actinopteri, Labriformes, Labridae. The transcript has 4 exons.